UUAACGCCUACACGCGUCAAAGAAGGGCGUGCAAAUGUGCUUGCAGGCGGUUUAACAUGUGCUAAAUAAACGUCUGCAAGCGGUCCUGCGCACGUCAAGUUAACGCCUACAGCUGCUAAAUAUACAUCCACACAAGCUAAUUUAACGCGUUCUUUAAUAUGCAAUUUUACUAGCCAAUUUCCCUAGCUUCUCCUUUCAAACAAAUUUCACAAUUUGAAGGAACUUCCCUUUCCACUGCAAACAGAUUUUGAAACUUUACAAGAAGGGAACCAUGAAGAGGAGCUUGGAGUGGGCAAGGGAGAGGCUGAUAAAGCAACAGAGAAGACCUGAUUCAUCAAGUAUCAAUUCAUUCAGGUGAUUCUCACCUGGUAGGCAUGCACAACACAAGAAUGGAGCUGUCGGACCUGACAUAGGGGUGAUACGUCAGUCUCAGCGUAAACAAAACAAAGUAGAUGGUGAUACUUGACCAUUCUCUCACCUACUGUACAUUAACAUGGAGAUGAUCAGCAGCUUCAAGUUCCUGGGCACCCUGAUAUCCUUUUCUGCCCUCAGUUACUUCACUCAAAGUCCCACUUGUGCUUCUCCACUAAACUUUCUGCACCACGACCUAUGUACCAACUACAGUGUCUUUUUACAUUUCAUGUAAAUGAAAUGUCCAUAUUUACUGGAAGAUUUAUUUAUGGUAACAUAGUCCCUUGACAUACAUGACUUAACUACUUUGCAUAAUGCUCAGUUUACCCACUAAGAAAUCAUACAUGUAUUAAAAUAUUAAAGCUGCA
Molecule: long non-coding RNA, 779 nt
Organism: Oncorhynchus gorbuscha (pink salmon)
Lineage: Eukaryota; Metazoa; Chordata; Actinopteri; Salmoniformes; Salmonidae
Exons: 3
Source: RefSeq, a predicted model, not a curated record